CUAAAAAGUCUAAAUUCUCAUUUAAAUUUAAAGCCAAAAUGUAUCAACCAUUCAAAAUACAUUCCAAAAAUACCAUUCGUUUACAGUUUCAAAUUACUACGUCCACAAAAUAUAUAUCAAACUAUCCAUAUAUGCAUCUCAAAUUCACUUUUCAAUAUAAAUAUAAAUGAACAUGUUACAUAGCACUGUAGAAACUACAAAUGAAUCAAUGAGUUGAUGCCAAAGACAUUUUGUACACAACCGAUAAGUUGAUGCCACAUGAAAUCCACUGCUCCUCCCAAGAAGCUACAAAAAAGAAAAUGAAGCAGCACGUUAGUGAAAGAUGUGAUGUACAACACCUAGAAACACCAGACUUCUUUGAUUAAAAUUUUAUAUCAAUAUGAAAUACACCUAUAUUAAUAUCCUGGGUUUAAACCAUAUUAUCAAUCUGAUUAUCUAUCACCCAUCUAUAUAUAUACAAAACAAACUCAUAUGGAGGGUUAAAACAAAAUUCAUUUAACCAGCCUCAAAUAGUUGGGAUUAGGCUUUACUAAGUGAAGAUGAGGAGAGCCCAUUCAUGUAGAUAUAAUAGUCCAGAGGAUAGAAACCUUAAUAUUAUAAUUAGUUUACUGACCACCACUGGAUCCAGACCCAUAUACAAACUACUGAUUACUGAGUCCUAACUAGGUCACAAUAAUGAUCAAAUUUAUGCACAAGUUUAGCCCCAAGUCCCAACCAACUUUGUGGUAAAUGGAAGGUUAGAGUUCAGGACCUCAGGUACACAUUUACCCCUAAAACACAACUCCUUCAAAUGUUAUCCAUUGUUGGAAUUUGCACUCAAGAGUUGCCAGGUUUAAAUGUUUUUUUCAUAAGGAACUUCACAUAGUGAGCAUAUUCAUAAACAUCCACAGUGUAUAACAGCUGGCUCUCACGUUGUAGCACGUUGUAGCAUUUCAUUUACAAGAAAAUAUUAAAACAAGAUAGACAAGAAACAAUAGGACUGGGUUCAACCAUGAGAUGGGAUCCAUGUCACCAACUGGAUUUAUUUAAAGGAGUUGUAAAUCUAAAAUGGUGAAACAAUUACUACUGAAUUAUUUUGAUGAUAUAGUUGAUUCAUCAUUUUCCUUUUCUUUCCAUACCAAGGGUAGUCAAAGGUAAGGGAUGGUCAAACUUGGAACAGCAACAUAUAAAACUAAAAUGAACUACACAACAAAAUUUUGUUUCUGAAUAACAACAAAACAUAGGUUAAUAUGGCCUGCCAGCCCAAAAAAUAGGCGUUGGCAUCAUAGUUUAGUGCACUCAUGAAAGAUCGGGCUCAAGUGUAGAGCAGCCAUAUCAUGCAGUAAUGAUGGAAUGGUAACUCUACAUCGAGUCCAUUUCCCACAGCAAAUACAAUGGCCUAAUCGACUUACCCUUUUGUGUAAAAUCUUAUGCCUACCUGAUUACAACAUUCACUUCACAAACUCUAAAAUAGAAGCAUAUAAUGCCUAAUAGAAACCUGUGCAGGCAUAACUUAACAACUUACUUCUUCAGUAUAAAAUUAUAUUACACAAAAACUAACAACAAUUGAUAUAGUAUUGUUUGAAAGCGCCGCUCGUGGCAUGGAAAGAGUAUAGGUCAGAUAGUAACAUUCUAAAAUAAAGAUAUUCAGUAGAUAUAAUAUGGGUUACUAGAAACAUCAACCAGCUGAUGCUCAGAAAUGGAUUAAUGAACAUAUGCAGUAACUUGUAAUGUAUCCAUAGAUACAUUAGCAGAGUUGGUAAGAUUCUGACUAGUAUCUUGGUUCAUAUUAUUUGGAUCUUUUGCAGAAUUUUGAUCUUUAUUAUCAGAAAAUUCAUCACCUACGCUCUGACCAUGCACCACAGUAUUAUCUGCAGAAAGGAGAAUUUGUGAUGAGGAAGGGAAUAAGGGAGGGAAAAUAUCUCUCAAUUCAAUAUUUCAUUCAAAUCAUGGUUUAAAAUGGAAAUACAUCCUUUACCCAUACUUGUACCGCUUACUAGACCUUAUAGAAACUACUACUACAUCUUCCUUCUAAUAGCUACCAAAUCCUAAAUAUAAAAAUAAAAAAUUUGCUAUUGCAACUAAAUAAUCUAUAAGACUGCGGUUAUUCCUAACAGUUAUGCUCUUUGGUUCUUUGGAAGCUAAUUUUCUUGAGAAUGAAUAUUUCAUGUAAAUGUGUUUAACAAGAAAUGUUUUUCUAAUUUAACCAUAUAAAGUGACGGCUAGGAUAUCAACAUUGAUGCCAACUGGUAUGUGUUAAACUAGUAUAUUUUAUUUUGUUUCUUUUCUAUAGUAACUCACAAAACUUAAAUUACCAAAUUUAUUGAUGUGUUUUAGACUUGCAAAUUGAUAGGUCUCCAAGUUAUGGCAUGGAUAUUUAGCUUGUCAAUCCUUAAAAUAAAACAUAUCUUCUAAUUUUUAAAGAAUCGAUGUCAUUUACCUCUUGCUUCCUGUUUUCUAAGUUAAAAUUAUAUAAUAAUACUGAAUUUUAUCAUGUAUCAUUUAAAUAAUAAUAUGAAAAAUUAGAAGAUCCAACUAUAAACUCUGCCUAUCCUAAUUUACUAUCCAACUUAAUCUUGUGAGGUUUUAAUCAUGUCUUUUUCUGGAAUACCAUCAUAAAAUACUGGUUCUACACCAAAUUCAGAUUCCCCUAGACUUUCAGUUAGAGCUUUAUAGGAAAAAUAUAUCGAGCAUGGGCCAACCAUCAAAUUUAUUAUUCAGCUUAAUCUAUGUGAGGUUUUAAUCAUGUCUUAUUCUGGAACACCAUUACUAAAGAAUGGUUCUACACCAAUCUCAGACUCCCCCUGGAUUUCCAGUUAGAGCUUUAGUGGGAAAAUAGACUAAGCAUGGCACAUCGUAGGAAAAACCGUGGCUACAAGAGUGGGGAAUAUAUCUUUUAGGUGACUGUAAUAGUCAAAAUAGCAUUAUGAAAUUUGCAGUGAGAAGAUACGACCAAUUAAUGCAUUAACUAUAGGUAAUUUGUAGCAAAUACCAGAAGUUCCAACCAGUACUCCAAAGGCAAAGGCACAUAACAAAUAUAAUUAAGAAGGACGACGCAUAUUAACCCUAACAAUUAAACAUGUUACCUAAGGCGUGCAAUGCAGAAUCAGUACUCAUGAAAGGUCGGCAGCUCUAAGAUGUGCAAUGCCGAAUCAGUCAGCGUUGUGAAACGUCAGCGGCACAAGGGGCAUGAGUUACUCUUAGUCAACAACUGGGAAAUGCAAAUGUGGUGAUACAUAUGAGAGCACGGCAAGCGGAUACAUACGAGACUGAUAUGAUGAAGUAAUCCUGCAUAUAUUGCAAUACUUAUCUAAUCAUUAAGGUGUACAAAUCACCAAAUGCACAAACAAUAAUUCAUAACUAAAAUUAGUUGAAGUAUAAGAUCACAUUAAUUUAUUUUUUUAAAUAAGUAUUAAGUACAUAAGAGAACUGUCCAAAAAGAGUAGAACCCAUGGAAAUUGGGAGUAGUUUACAGGUCAAAUAGAAAGCAAUUAAAAGGAAGAUCCAUCACAAAAUAUGAGGUAAACUAAAAUGGGCAUAAGCAAUGUAAUCACACUAACCUUAUUAUUUAAUAAAAGGAAAGGAAUGGCAAGGUUGAGUAGACAAGUAUACAAAACCAUCCAACAAGAAGCUAAUACAAAAAUUUACCACAAGAGGAAAAGUGUCACGAUCCACAAAUAACUCCAAUAUUACUCUUUCAAAAAGAUAAGGUGGAAAGGUCGUCCAAGGAAAAUAUGCUUAUACAUCAUAGGAGAAAGCACCUGAUUCUCAAAAAAUGUAGUUCAGUCUUUCUGAAAACUUCAAAGAAGACAUGAAUCGACCAAAAAUAAAUUAUUCAAACAGAAAAAUUCUAAACAAGGACGAAGAAAUUAAAUCAAAAUGAAUUGGGGAAGGGAUCGAGAAAUAGGAGAAGAGGACGAUCGAGUGACUUACUUUGAUAAUUCUUCGAGGUAAAUUGCUAUUCGCCAAUGAAGAAGCUUCAAUUACAAAGUACGCUAACAAAGAUUUUCAGAGAGACGCGAUUCACCUCCUCGGCUCCAAACGUCGCUUGUAGAAUGGCGCCACCACUAUGUCACUGCUGCCGCCACCACUACGCCGCCACUAUUUCUAGGGUUAAAGGGAGUCGAGAGGUUGGGGAAUGAGAUGGGCUGCAUAUCUGAGUGAGAGAGUUGAGCUUAUGAAAUAAGAGAGAUAGAGUUAGAUAGAGACGGGAAAGUACUAGAAGGAAAAAA
Molecule: long non-coding RNA, 4211 nt
Filed under: Panax ginseng (ginseng)
Lineage: Eukaryota; Viridiplantae; Streptophyta; Magnoliopsida; Apiales; Araliaceae
Description: long non-coding RNA (PGIN_LNC008613)
Source: RNAcentral